RNAcentral lists this long non-coding RNA (1146 nucleotides) under Takifugu rubripes (torafugu). RNAcentral describes it as "lncRNA (ENSTRUG00000030611.1)". Lineage: Eukaryota; Metazoa; Chordata; Actinopteri; Tetraodontiformes; Tetraodontidae. The record is from RNAcentral.
AUGAAUGACAUUAUAAUUGACCACCUCCAGCCAGACAGGAGCUGUGUGUUGUUGCUGACCUGUCUCACAAACGGACCAGUAUCACCCCCCCGUGACGCCCCCGGCCCCCGUCCUACUGACACGUCGGCGCAUGCUCGGGAGCACAGCAGGAGUGUGUUUUCACACACCCUAAACGUUUAUCGGGCAGCAGACAGGCACACGCUGGGACCAGCGCCGUCACGGCUCUUAUCUGGGCGCCGCUGCUGGUGGCGGUCGGGCCUAUCAGCGCCGCCAGUCGCUCCGCUUCAGACGCGGAUGUCCCGCGUGGACACUUCGCCGAGCCGACCUUCGCUCCUUUUGAUUGGGAUCAAUUUGAAAACCAACCUGAAGCCUUUUAAAUGGCCGUCGGUUCAAAAGUUCAGCGUGAAUAUACAGGCAGUAACAAUCUCCACUGUGUGCAUGCCCCACACACACACACACACACACACACACACACACACACACACACACAGUCAGGUGACAGGGUGGUCUGCACGCCGCCUGUCUCCUCGGCCUGAUCAUGAGGCUGCAGCACAGAUUCGUGCAGAUAAAACCCAUUCAGUGUUUUUAAGACGCCGAACCACUAAAUAUCAGCCAAAGAAAACAAAUCCAUCCCUGAACAGACGAGCCCAGUCAAAGGCUUUGACGCCUUCGUGUCACAAACAUCCCUUUUCCUUGUCUGACCGGCUUCUUCUCAGCUUGUUAGCACCAGCUCCAAGCGCCCACGGGUUUGUCUCCAUCCGUCGGAGCUGCUCAGCAGCACCUGCGGACCACCAGGGGCGGUCCGGAGACGGGUCCUCGUUAUCCCGCUCCGGCGCCGAUGUGCAGAUGUGCAGACGCCAUCGGGACAAGCUCCCACCCCCUUCUGCAGCGGGGGCGUGGCGAAGGUCUCCUACAGGGUUCGACUCUCUGGAAAAGGCUUCCUUUGUGCCGGAAGGCUCGAUCGGAGGGCAGGAAGGUCGGCCGGACCUGCUGACUCAAGUGAGCAAACAGGCCGACGGGAGGCCGGGGUCUAAAGGUCACACUGGCAGGGCGGCGUGCUCACGUCCACGCGGCGAUGCACAAAAACCCGUCGGGUUUAGAGGCAAAGAUCCGGGUGAUGAGCAGCUUUUCCAGCUAAAUUCAUGA